UACGUAGGGUGCAAGCGUUAAUCGGAAUUACUGGGCGUAAAGCGCACGCAGGCGGUUCGCCAAGUUUGGAGUGACAGUUGUCGGCUCAACCGACAAAGGACUUCAAAAACUGGUGAACUUGAGGACGAGAGAGGAACAUGGAACUCCAGGUGUAGUAGUGAAAUGCGUAGAUAUCUGGAAGAACACCAAUGGCGAAGGCAAUGUUCUGGCUCGUUUCUGACGCUCAGGUGCGAAAGCCAGGGGAGCGAACGGG
This 253-nucleotide ribosomal RNA is filed under the name uncultured bacterium. RNAcentral's name for it is "partial 16S ribosomal RNA". It matches the Rfam family "Bacterial small subunit ribosomal RNA", at positions 524 to 776 of the family's 1533-position model. The record is from RNAcentral.